Sapajus apella (tufted capuchin) is the source of this 334-nucleotide long non-coding RNA. RefSeq lists it as uncharacterized. The transcript has 3 exons. NCBI's taxonomy places the organism in Eukaryota, Metazoa, Chordata, Mammalia, Primates, Cebidae. The record is from RefSeq and is a predicted model, not a curated record.
CGUCUUGUUCCAAAGCUGAGAGGGUCAUUAUUUGUCUAAGGCUAGAAUGGUACCAACAAGAUGUAAACUGUAAGGAGAGGAGGAGAUGAGGCCUUUCCCUGGCAUUUAGUAGGUAAUACUCAAGGGAUUCUCGAAAAAUGACACAAUGUUAUUGCUCCUUGUCUUUUUCUUUCCUCAUUGGUCCUGGUGAAGGAGGACAUUUCUGCUCUUCAAAUUUCCUUAUAACCCAGAGAUGUUCAUAGAAAGCUUGAGACCAGUUGUGAUGGCUCAUGCCUGUAAUCUCAGCACCUUGGAAGGCCAGGACAGGAGGAUCACUUGAGCCCAGGAGUUCAAG